GACGAACGCUGGCGGCGUGCUUAACACAUGCAAGUCGAACGGUAAGGCCCUUCGGGGUACACGAGUGGCGAACGGGUGAGUAGCACAUGGGUGAUCUGCCCUGCACUUCGGGAUAAGCCUGGGAAACUGGGUCUAAUACCGGAUAGGACCACUGCCUGCAUGGGUGGUGGUGGAAAGCUUUUGCGGUGUGGGAUGGGCCCGCGGCCUAUCAGCUUGUUGGUGGGGUGAUGGCCUACCAAGGCGACGACGGGUAGCCGGCCUGAGAGGGUGACCGGCCACACUGGGACUGGGAUACGGCCCAGACUCCUACGGGAGGCAGCAGUGGGGAAUAUUGCACAAUGGGCGCAAGCCUGAUGCAGCGACGCCGCGUGAGGGAUGACGGCCUUCGGGUUGUAAACCUCUUUCAGCACCGACGAAGCGCAAGUGACGGUAGGUGCAGAAGAAGGACCGGCCAACUACGUGCCAGCCGCCGCCGUAA
Molecule: ribosomal RNA, 478 nt
Filed under: uncultured bacterium
Lineage: Bacteria
Description: partial 16S ribosomal RNA
Rfam family: Bacterial small subunit ribosomal RNA
Source: RNAcentral